CCCUUAGAUGUUCUGGGCCGCACACGCGCUACACUGAAGGAGGCAGCGUGUACUCCUGGAUCGAAAGAUUUGGGUAACCCGCGAAUCUCCUUCGUGCUAGGGAUUGAGGUUUGCAAUUAUCCUUCAUGAACGAGGAAUUCCCAGUAAGUGCAAGUCAUAAGCUUGCGCUGACUACGUCCCUGCCCUUUGUACACACCGUCCGUCGCUCCUACCGAUUGAAUGGUUUAGUGAGGACUUCGGACUGGGACCGAUGCGGCUUUCGGGCUGCGUCGGUAUUCUGGAAAGAUGUCCAAACUGUAUCAUUUAGAGGAAGUAAAAGUCGUANCA
This 327-nucleotide ribosomal RNA is filed under the name uncultured eukaryote. Its description in RNAcentral is "partial 18S ribosomal RNA". It matches the Rfam family "Eukaryotic small subunit ribosomal RNA", at positions 1470 to 1796 of the family's 1831-position model. The record is from RNAcentral.